This 165-nucleotide ribosomal RNA is filed under the name uncultured bacterium. Its description in RNAcentral is "partial 16S rRNA". It matches the Rfam family "Bacterial small subunit ribosomal RNA", at positions 355 to 511 of the family's 1533-position model. The record is from RNAcentral.
UAGGGAAUCUUCGGCAAUGGGGGGCAAACCCUGACCGAGCAACGCCGCGUGAGUGAAGAAGGUUUUCGGAUCGUAAAGCUCUGCUGUAAGAGAAGAACGUGUGUGAGAGUGGAAAGUUCACACAGUGACGGUAACUUACAGAAGGGACGGCUAACUACGUGCCAC